RNAcentral lists this transfer-messenger RNA (389 nucleotides) under Chloroflexaceae bacterium. It matches the Rfam family "transfer-messenger RNA". Rfam says of the family: Bacterial tmRNA, also known as 10Sa RNA or SsrA, is named for its dual tRNA and mRNA-like properties. Lineage: Bacteria; Bacillati; Chloroflexota; Chloroflexia; Chloroflexales; Chloroflexaceae. The record is from RNAcentral. RNAcentral also lists the same sequence under 1 other name.
GGGGCCGUAACGGUUUCGACAGGCUGGAGAAAGCUGCCCCGCGAUGCAGGUCGAGAGCGAGUCACCUCUCGUAAAUCCAGGCUCAAACAAAAAGUAACUGCGAACAACAUUGUUCCUUUUGCUCGUAAGGCAGUAGCUAUUGCCUAAAUAACCCUUACAAGGUACGAGCGUCUGUAGUCUGACUCCGUUAAGGGCUGCGGACAAAACCCCAACGGAUGCUUCCCUUUAACUGCCUCUGGUCGGUUGAGGGACUAAGACUUUACCAGAGCAUCCCGUUGUCCGGGAUAAGGGACAAUCCCCGCUCCGAGGGUUAAAGGAGCUAAACCUGUGAACGAACGGAAAGUAAAUACCCAGUUUGGACAGCAGUUCGACUCUGCUCGGCUCCAUAA